This 84-nucleotide transfer RNA is filed under the name Desulfohalobium retbaense DSM 5692. It matches the Rfam family "tRNA". Rfam says of the family: Transfer RNA (tRNA) molecules are approximately 80 nucleotides in length. Their secondary structure includes four short double-helical elements and three loops (D, anti-codon, and T loops). The record is from Rfam by way of RNAcentral. Lineage: Bacteria; Pseudomonadati; Thermodesulfobacteriota; Desulfovibrionia; Desulfovibrionales; Desulfohalobiaceae.
GCCGAAGUGGUGGAAUUGGUAGACACGCUAGGUUCAGGGUCUAGUGGGCACCAGCCCGUGGGAGUUCGAAUCUCCCCUUCGGCA